RNAcentral lists this ribosomal RNA (874 nucleotides) under uncultured Bacilli bacterium. Its description in RNAcentral is "bacterial SSU rRNA". It matches the Rfam family "Bacterial small subunit ribosomal RNA", at positions 28 to 896 of the family's 1533-position model. The record is from RNAcentral. Lineage: Bacteria; Bacillati; Bacillota; Bacilli.
GACGAACGCUGGCGGCGUGCCUAAUACAUGCAAGUCGAGCGGGGUAGAGAGAGCUUGCUCUCAAAGCCUAGCGGCGGACGGGUGAGUAACACGUAGGCAACCUGCCUGUAAGCCUGGGAUAACUCCGGGAAACCGGAGCUAAUACCAGAUAAGCUGUAUGACCGCAUGGUCUUACACUAAAAGGAUGCGAUCCACUUACAGAUGGGCCUGCGGCGCAUUAGCUCGUUGGUGAGGUAACGGCUCACCAAGGCAACGAUGCGUAGCCGACCUGAGAGGGUGACCGGCCACACUGGGACUGAGACACGGCCCAGACUCCUACGGGAGGCAGCAGUAGGGAAUCUUCCGCAAUGGACGAAAGUCUGACGGAGCAACGCCGCGUGAGUGAUGAAGGUUUUCGGAUUGUAAAACUCUGUUGUCAGGGAAGAACAACCUAGAUUGGAUCUAGGACUGACGGUACCUGACGAGAAAGCCCCGGCUAACUACGUGCCAGCAGCCGCGGUAAUACGUAGGGGGCAAGCGUUGUCCGGAAUUAUUGGGCGUAAAGCGCGCGCAGGCGGUCCUUUAAGUCUGAUGUGAAAGUCCACGGCUCAACCGUGGGAUUGCAUUGGAAACUGGGGGACUUGAGUGCAGAAGAGGAGAGUGGAAUUCCUGGUGUAGCGGUGAAAUGCGUAGAGAUCAGGAGGAACACCAAUGGCGAAGGCAGCUCUCUGGUCUGUAACUGACGCUGAGGCGCGAAAGCGUGGGUAGCAAACAGGAUUAGAUACCCUGGUAGUCCACGCCGUAAACGAUGAGUGCUAGGUGUUAGGGGGUCCAACCCUUAGUGCCGAAGUUAACACAUUAAGCACUCCGCCUGGGGAGUACGGUCGCAAGACUG